Molecule: long non-coding RNA, 1862 nt
Organism: Meriones unguiculatus (Mongolian gerbil)
Lineage: Eukaryota; Metazoa; Chordata; Mammalia; Rodentia; Muridae
Exons: 5
Source: RefSeq, a predicted model, not a curated record
GAAAAAUGAAGAAUAAUGAAAAAUUCUGUAUAAUCUUUACAUUGAUUAAAACAGGAGUUUGUGUUGGGUUCUUACAGAUCAAGAUCCAUGCUGAAAUCUCAGAGUAACCAUGAAAAGACUCAUAAAUGAGAAGAGUCUCAUUCUUACAGAGUUCAAGAAAGAAUGAUCUGCUGUUAUGAACGAGGUAGCUUCAAGCUGAAUUCUCAUCUCCUGGAACAUCCCAUAAUAUCUCAAAAGGACACAAAGACAGAUGGAGAAAGUUUGAACCUUGACAAGAGCAGUUGAGGCAACACUCUCCUGCUACAAGCAUUGGGAAAUUAGUGUGAGAUUUCUUUUCAUUUCCUUCUCAAGACCAUGUGAUAUGCAUCUGUGAGGACCAAAGAAUGGGAGGAUGGAAGGGUCUCCAAGUUCCAUCAUGAAGAUUGGUGCAGAGUGAGAAAUAGCAAUUUGUAGACUGACACUUUGAUACUCAAAAUUCUCGGAUUAAUGGAGACAAGAUAUAUCAUGUUUUUUCCCUGAAUGUUUUCAUAUGAUUCUUUCUAGGGGCAAUGUAGCUUGGCAUUCAUCAGUGCCAGCCUUAUCCCUGAGGCUGUGGGCUCUGUAUACUGUAUCUGCUCUGCCCUCAUUGUGCACAACUCAGCAUAAAGGGUGAGAUCCCUGUUCUCCUCAGCGCAGAUGCUGUAAAUGUUGAACCUGUCUGGCCUGACUCACUUCCAAAGACUCUUUGACAAUAGUUAUGGAUUAGAAAAGGUGUUCCUUGGGCAGGCCUGGUGACAGAAGCCUAUAGUUCCAGCAUUUGGAAGGUAGAGAUUGAAGGAUCACCACAAAUCCAAGGCCAACUUGCUUGGCCUACUUAGCAAAGGAAGCAUCCCUGAAUGCGGAUCGUUUUGUAUAUUUUGACUGAUUGCUGGCAAGAUAGAGAGACAUAAAUAUUUCUGGAAAUGAACAUGGUAUAAACAUAGCAUUAGCCAGGCUGCAACUCUGUGUGUAUGUGUGAUAGCAAGUGUGGUCUGAAGAGAUGUUUAUGGUGCCGUCAGCCAACAAACUUGUCUCUCCCUUCUCUGAUCAAGAGUCUUUAAUGAUUGGAGCUCCAGGCCUAGGGAUGAGAGUCAGGAAAUGUUUUGGAGGCUGGAAAAACAUUUCAGAUUUUCAGAAUUAGUUAACUUAAAAACCCGCCAUCUGCAUACUUGCUCCUGUCCUUCUGCUCAUCUUUCAGUCUUACAUGUAGGAAGCACAUCCCCCACAGAGCUGAUGUGACUUUAGGAAUUCCAGCUGUUGUCCAGCUCAUCUUAAUGACAGUGCUGAUCAACCUGGCUGCUGGGAGAAGGAAGUGUUUCUGACCUCAGACUCCACCAGAGCCCAGGCCCAUAAAAUACAUGUAAGCCGGCAACUGUGACUUUUUAUUUUCUUUCCUUAAAAAUAAAUAAAUAAAUCAGACCCUGUCCCACGGAGGCCAGACUCCAGUGUAGGAGGACUGAGUGUAAAGACGUUAGCAGCCGAGCUGAGAUGGGGGUGUUUUCACGUCUGGGAUAUAUUGCUUUGUCUAACAAGGCGCCCCAGCAGGCUUCCAAUUGUGGCGUCUCCAGACCCUCCCAGCUGCGCAGGCUGAUUGACAGACUGUGGGCAGAUGCAGUGCCAAACUCCAAUAAAGAGAGGGCCUUGGGAAAAUAUAAGGCAAUUAUUGAUGGGCAGGAAUCCACUAAUCAGACAAUUUCAAAAUUAAUCCCAUAUUCCCUUACUGUAUUAGCUUUCUUUCUUGUUUGUAUUUAUAUAGCAAAUUCAUGACUUCAGUGAAAAUUCUUCCCUCCAGCCCAAUUAUGUCUCUCCGAGGGCAUUAAAUUAAAAAACAAGAGAUAUUGAAA